CCCUUUUCCGCACAAUCUGUUCUGUUUCACAACAGAGACCAAACUCUCCAAAGUUCCCCUCAAGCAGAGACCAAAUUGGGGUCUGUCAAACACAAUUAGCAUCAGCGUAGAUUUCUCGAAAAAUAGUUUUCCUCUUCUGUCUCAGAGAGAAGACUGGAGUAGAUACAUCGGUAAAGAAAAAUAAAGUGGGAUUUUAAAAAAAUGAAAAAUG
This is a non-coding RNA of Pelobates cultripes (western spadefoot toad), 211 nucleotides long. The record is from the annotation of a GenBank genome assembly. NCBI's taxonomy places the organism in Eukaryota, Metazoa, Chordata, Amphibia, Anura, Pelobatidae.